CAGCCAUAUUACAUUAAAACACCAGUUCUUGUCUGAUCAUUGAAGUUAAGCAACAUCGAGCAUGGUCAGUAGCUACAUGGGUGACUGCUUGGGAAUACCAGGUGCUGUAAG
Molecule: non-coding RNA, 111 nt
Organism: Acanthosepion pharaonis
Lineage: Eukaryota; Metazoa; Mollusca; Cephalopoda; Sepiida; Sepiidae
Source: the annotation of a GenBank genome assembly